CUAAUCGCAUCUUUCCCUUCGGGGACAGAAGUGACAGGUGGUGCAUGGUUGUCGUCAGCUCGUGUCGUGAGAUGUUGGGUUAAGUCCCGCAACGAGCGCAACCCUUGCCUUUAUUGCCAGCAUUAAGUUGGGCACUCUAGAGGGACUGCCAGGGAUAACCUGGAGGAAGGUGGGGAUGACGUCAAAUCAUCAUGCCCCUUAUGCUUAGGGCUACACACGUGCUACAAUGGGUGGUACAGAGGGCAGCCAAGUCGUGAGGCGGAGCUAAUCCCUUAAAGCCAUUCUCAGUUCGGAUUGUAGGCUGAAACUCGCCUACAUGAAGCUGGAGUUACUAGUAAUCGCAGAUCAGAAUGCUGCGGUGAAUGCGUUCCCGGGUCUUGUACAC
Molecule: ribosomal RNA, 385 nt
Filed under: uncultured bacterium
Lineage: Bacteria
Description: bacterial SSU rRNA
Rfam family: Bacterial small subunit ribosomal RNA
Source: RNAcentral